GACUGGGGCGGUCGCCUCCUAAAAGGUAACGGAGGCGCUCAAAGGUUCCCUCAGAAUGGUUGGAAAUCAUUCAUAGAGUGUAAAGGCAUAAGGGAGCUUGACUGCGAGACCUACAAGUCGAGCAGGGUCGAAAGACGGACUUAGUGAUCCGGUGGUUCCGCAUGGAAGGGCCAUCGCUCAACGGAUAAAAGCUACCCCGGGGAUAACAGGCUUAUCUCCCCCAAGAGUUCACAUCGACGGGGAGGUUUGGCACCUCGAUGUCGGCUCAUCGCAUCCUGGGGCUGUAGUCGGUCCCAAGGGUUGGGCUGUUCGCCCAUUAAAGCGGUACGCGAGCUGGGUUCAGAACGUCGUGAGACAGUUCGGUCCCUAUCCGUCGUGGGCGUAGGAAAUUUGAGAGGAGCUGUCCUUAGUACGAGAGGACCGGGAUGGACAUACCUCUGGUGUACCAGUUGUCGUGCCAACGGCAUAGCUGGGUAGCUAUGUGUGGACGGGAUAAGUGCUGAAAGCAUCUAAGCAUGAAGCCCCCCUCAAGAUGAGAUUUCCCAACUUCGGUUAUAAGAUCCCUCAAAGAUGAUGAGGUUAAUAGGUUCGAGGUGGAAGCAUGGUGACAUGUGGAGCUGACGAAUACUAA
This 631-nucleotide ribosomal RNA is filed under the name Staphylococcus aureus. RNAcentral's name for it is "partial 23S ribosomal RNA". It matches the Rfam family "Bacterial large subunit ribosomal RNA", at positions 2272 to 2904 of the family's 2925-position model. Lineage: Bacteria; Bacillati; Bacillota; Bacilli; Caryophanales; Staphylococcaceae. The record is from RNAcentral.